RNAcentral lists this non-coding RNA (28 nucleotides) under Bombyx mori (domestic silkworm). The record is from RNAcentral. Lineage: Eukaryota; Metazoa; Arthropoda; Insecta; Lepidoptera; Bombycidae.
UGCUUAUAAGCAGUAGCUCUCUUGCCGA